ACUCCUACGGGAGGCAGCAGUGGGGAAUAUUGCACAAUGGGGAAACCCUGAUGCAGCCAUGCCGCGUGUGUGAAGAAGGCCUUCGGUUGUAAAGCACUUUCAGUAGGGAGGAAGGUAGUGUAGUUAACACCUGCAUUAUUUGACGUUACCUACAGAAGAAGCACCGGCUAACUCCGUGCCAGCAGCCGCGGUAAUACGGAGGGUGCGAGCGUUAAUCGGAAUUACUGGGCGUAAAGCGCAUGCAGGCGGCCUGUUAAGUCAGAUGUGAAAGCCCGGGGCUUAACCUCGGAAUUGCAUUUGAAACUGGCAGGCUAGAGUCUUGUAGAGGGGGUAGAAUUUCAGGUGUAGCGGUGAAAUGCGUAGAGAUCUGAAGGAAUACCAGUGGCGAAGGCGGCCCCUGGACAAGACUGACGCUCAGAUGCGAAAGCGU
Molecule: ribosomal RNA, 430 nt
Filed under: uncultured bacterium
Lineage: Bacteria
Description: bacterial SSU rRNA
Rfam family: Bacterial small subunit ribosomal RNA
Source: RNAcentral